UGCGUAGGCGGGGCAAUUAGUCAGUGGCGAAAUCCUGCGGCUUAACCGUAGAACUGCCAUUGAUACUGUUGCCCUUGAGUAUAGUUGAGGUGGGCGGAAUGUGUAAUGUAGCGGUGAAAUGCAUAGAGAUUACACAGAACACCAAUUGCGAAGGCAGCUCACUAAGCUAUAACUGACGCUGAGGCACGAAAGCGUGGGGAGCGAACAGGAUUAGAUACCCUGGUAGUCC
RNAcentral lists this ribosomal RNA (229 nucleotides) under uncultured bacterium. RNAcentral describes it as "partial 16S ribosomal RNA". It matches the Rfam family "Bacterial small subunit ribosomal RNA", at positions 568 to 796 of the family's 1533-position model. The record is from RNAcentral.